UACGUAGGGCGCAAGCGUUGUCCGGAAUUAUUGGGCGUAAAGAGCUCGUAGGCGGUCUGUCGCGUCUGCUGUGAAAAUCCAGGGCUCAACCCUGGACCUGCAGUGGGUACGGGCAGACUAGAGUGCGGUAGGGGAGAUCGGAAUUCCUGGUGUAGCGGUGAAAUGCGCAGAUAUCAGGAGGAACACCAAUUGCGAAGGCAGCUCGCUGGGACGUUACUGACGCUGAGACGCGAAAGCGUGGGGAGCAAACAGG
Molecule: ribosomal RNA, 253 nt
Filed under: uncultured bacterium
Lineage: Bacteria
Description: partial 16S ribosomal RNA
Rfam family: Bacterial small subunit ribosomal RNA
Source: RNAcentral